UGUGUUUUCCAGAAUAUACAAAGAACUCUUACAGCCCAACAACAAAAAUGGGCAAAGAACUUUGUCACAGUGUGACUCUAGAAUGUUCCCAAAGGGUUGUGUAUGGAAGGCUUGGUUCCAAUGCAGCAGUGUCCAGAGGUGAGACUUUGGGAAGUGAUCAGAUCAUGAGGACUCUGGCCUCAUCAGUGGGUUAAUCCCUUGGUAGAUUCAGAGCUGAAGGGACCCUUGGGAGGUGGUGGACCGUAGGAUGUAGGGCCCAGUCGGAGGAAGAAGGGCACCGCGGGUGUGCCCUGGAGGGGCACAGCUUGUCCCCAGCCCCUUCCCCUCUCCUCUCUCUGCUUCCUGACUGCCCUGAGGUGAACACCUGCUUGCUAUGGUGUUCUGCCUCACCACAGGCCCACAGGGAUGGGGCCAGUGACCAUGGACGGAAACCUCUGAAAUUGCAAGCCAAAAUAAAUCUUU
Molecule: long non-coding RNA, 462 nt
Filed under: Marmota monax (woodchuck)
Lineage: Eukaryota; Metazoa; Chordata; Mammalia; Rodentia; Sciuridae
Source: RNAcentral